GGAGCCUGCGGCUUAAUUUGACUCAACACGGGAAACCUCACCCGGCCCGGACACGGAAAGGAUUGACAGAUUGAUAGCUCUUUCUCGAUUCUGUGGGUGGUGGUGCAUGGCCGUUCUUAGUUGGUGGAGCGAUUUGUCUGGUUAAUUCCGAUAACGAACGAGACUCCGGCAUGCUAACUAGUUAUGCGGCCCCGAGCGGUCGGCGUCCAACUUCUUAGAGGGACAAGUGGCGUUCAGCCACACGAGAUUGAGCAAUAACAGGUCUGUGAUGCCCUUAGAUGUCCGGGGCUGCACGCGCGCCACACUGAGCGGAUCAGCGUGUGUCUACCCUUCGCCGAGAGGCGUGGGUAACCCGCUGAACCCCACUCGUGAUAGGGAUUGGGGAUUGCAAUUAUUCCCAUGAACG
This 406-nucleotide non-coding RNA is filed under the name Salmo salar (Atlantic salmon). RNAcentral describes it as "Eukaryotic small subunit ribosomal RNA". It matches the Rfam family "Eukaryotic small subunit ribosomal RNA", at positions 1178 to 1605 of the family's 1831-position model. The record is from Rfam by way of RNAcentral. Lineage: Eukaryota; Metazoa; Chordata; Actinopteri; Salmoniformes; Salmonidae.